Molecule: small nuclear RNA, 113 nt
Gene: U5
Rfam family: U5 spliceosomal RNA
About the family: U5 RNA is a component of both types of known spliceosome. The precise function of this molecule is unknown, though it is known that the 5' loop is required for splice site selection and p220 binding, and that both the 3' stem-loop and the Sm site are important for Sm protein binding and cap methylation.
Source: Ensembl
ACUCUUGUUUCUCUUCAGAUCGUACAAAUAUUUCGCCUUUUACUAAAUAUGUCCGUAGAGAGGAACAACAAGAUUAUCCCAAAUUUUUGGAUGCCCUGUUUUACAGCGGGGCU